UGGUUUCAGGCAGAGUGUGGAUUUUUUGGACGCAUCCUUGGAUCUGAGGCGUGUUCCCCUCUUUUCCAAGGCAAGGACAAAGCUGGUGCUUAGCUCUGCGCUUGUGUCCAGAGGCAGCAUUAUCCCUUCUGCUCCAAUAUUUCACUGCUAGCAAAGUCGAGGGACUGUGACCUUUGGAUGUUACUGCAAUAAAACCUCACAGCAGUGCCGCUACCAGACAGCUGCGUUGUCCGUGUGCAUCACCAAACUUUCUCGGCUCUUUCAAAAGAAGAAGAGGACGAGGUACCUGACCCCAGACAUGUCUGCAGCCAGAUGGCAAGCCACGGGUGAUUUCAAAAGCAAAGGCAGAAAAUGAGUUAAGGUUUUCCCCUGCUGCCCCUGGGAGUGCUAAUUCACUGCUACUCGGGGAGGAGAACACAAAACAUUAACUUCUUUCCAUCUGACUGAGCUUCACCAACUGCAGCCACGGAAGGCGUGAGCGUGUCUGGAAGCAGGGGGUGCCGUUUGCGGUGCAGGAUGCGUGGCUGGCUAUCUUAUUUCUUCUCUCUGCAGUGAGUUCGUUCCACCUUGGGCAUG
Molecule: long non-coding RNA, 576 nt
Filed under: Struthio camelus australis
Lineage: Eukaryota; Metazoa; Chordata; Aves; Struthioniformes; Struthionidae
Description: lncRNA (ENSSCUG00000016607.1)
Source: RNAcentral